Molecule: ribosomal RNA, 249 nt
Filed under: uncultured bacterium
Lineage: Bacteria
Description: partial 16S ribosomal RNA
Rfam family: Bacterial small subunit ribosomal RNA
Source: RNAcentral
GUCCACGCCUAACGAUGGAUACUAGACAUACGCGAUACACUGUGUGUGUCUGAGCGAAGCAUUAAGUAUCCCACCUGGGAAGUACGUCCGCAAGGAUGAACUCAAGGAUUGGCGGGUCCGCACAAGCGUGGAGCAUGUGGUUAAUCCGAAGCAACGCGAAGAACCUUACCAAGUCUUGACAUCCCAUUGACGGAUCCUUAACCGGAUUUCUCUUCGGAGCAAUGGAGACAGGUGGUGCAUGGUUGUCGU